RNAcentral lists this ribosomal RNA (206 nucleotides) under uncultured bacterium. Its description in RNAcentral is "partial 16S ribosomal RNA". It matches the Rfam family "Bacterial small subunit ribosomal RNA", at positions 568 to 774 of the family's 1533-position model. The record is from RNAcentral.
CGCGUAGGCGGUGCCACAAGUCACUUGUGAAAUCCCCGGGCUUAACCCGGGGCCUGCAGGCGAAACUGUGGUGCUGGAGUAUGGGAGAGGUGCGUGGAAUUCCCGGUGUAGCGGUGAAAUGCGUGAUAUCGGGAGGAACACCUGUGGCGAAAGCGGCGCACUGGACCAUAACUGACGCUGAGGCGCGAAAGCUAGGGGAGCAAACA